GGAACCACCUGAUCCCAUCCCGAACUCAGAAGUGAAACAGACCUGCGCCGAUGGUAGUGUGGCGUUGCCCAUGUGAGAGUAGGUCAUCGUCAGGC
This 95-nucleotide ribosomal RNA is filed under the name Marinobacter nauticus. The record is from RNAcentral. Lineage: Bacteria; Pseudomonadati; Pseudomonadota; Gammaproteobacteria; Pseudomonadales; Marinobacteraceae. RNAcentral also lists the same sequence under 1 other name.